ACGAACGCUGGCGGCAGGCUUAACACAUGCAAGUCGAGCGUGAAGCUGCCUUCGGGUAGUGGAAAGCGGCGGACGGGUGAGUAACGCGUGGGAACCUACCCUUUGGUUCGGAAUAACUUGGGGAAACUUAAGCUAAUACCGGAUACGCCCCGUAAGGGGGAAAGAUUUAUUGCCGAAGGAUGGGCCCGCGUUGGAUUAGGUAGUUGGUAGGGUAACGGCCUACCAAGCCUACGAUCCAUAGCUGUUCUUAGAGGAAGACCAGCCACACUGGGACUGAGACACGGCCCAGACUCCUACGGGAGGCAGCAGUGGGGAAUCUUGGACAAUGGGGGAAACCCUGAUCCAGCCAUGCCGCGUGAAUGAAGAAGGCCUUAGGGUUGUAAAAUUCUUUUAGCGGGGAAGAUAAUGACGGUACCCGCAGAAAAAGCCCCGGCUAACUCCGU
This 443-nucleotide ribosomal RNA is filed under the name uncultured bacterium. RNAcentral describes it as "bacterial SSU rRNA". It matches the Rfam family "Bacterial small subunit ribosomal RNA", at positions 29 to 506 of the family's 1533-position model. The record is from RNAcentral.